GGUUAUUUAGUUAAUUAGUUACACUGUUUGUUUAAAAUAAAUCUUUAAAGAUCUUUUUAUUCAGUUGCUUAAAACAAAAGAUUUUGUUUUAUUCUUAUAGACUUAAGCGUGAGAAACUUAGGCUUUUUUUAUGUUACAUUGGCUUCUAGUUAUGGAAGUAAUUGUAAAAUUUAUAAUAUUUAAAAUUUAAAUACUAUAAAAAGUAAAAAGGCAUCCCUGAUAGAAUAACGCUCUAAAGGGGAAAAACAUCAAUACGAUGUUAUUAGUCUAUAUAUUAAUUACUCAAUAAUAUGGGUAAGCAGUGUAUCGUCGAUUUUAUUGAGUAAAAUUCUAGAUAGUGAUAACAUGAUUAUGACAAAAAACUAUCUAUAAGUCUUGACCAAAAUACAUGCCAGCAGUCGCGGUAAGAUGUAAAAGACUAGUGUUAUUCAUCUUUAUUAGGUUUAAAGGGUACCUAGACGGUUUAUUUAGUCUUUAAUAGGAUACGAAUAAUCUAGAGUUAUAUGUAAGGAGGUGAGUAUUUAUGGAGUAGAGUUGAAAUUUGUUGAUACCAUAACGACUGGUAAAGGCGAAAGCAACCUUUUAUCUAAUAACUGACGUUGAGGAACGAAGGCUUGGGUAGCGAACAGGAUUAGAUACCCUAGUAGUCCUUGCAGAAAAUGAUGAAUGCCAUAGGUUAGAUAAUAAUUUAGUCUAUAAAUGAAAGUGUAAGCAUUUCACCUCAAGAGUAAUGCGGCAACGCAGGAACUGAAAUCAUUAGACCGUUUCUGAAACCAGUAGUGAAGUAUGUUAUUUAAUUCGUAAUUACGCGAAAAACCUUACCACAACUUGAAUAUUAUCAACUAUGAUAUUACAAGUGUUGCAUGGCUGUCUGCAGUUAAUGUCGUGAGAUUUGGAUAGCUCCUUAAAUUAACGAAAGCCCUUACUUUAGUUGAAAAUAAGAAUAAAGUAGUACAUAU
This 959-nucleotide ribosomal RNA is filed under the name Arachnopeziza ptilidiophila. Its description in RNAcentral is "SSU rRNA". The stretch from base 265 to 959 matches the Rfam family "Bacterial small subunit ribosomal RNA", at positions 1 to 1140 of the family's 1533-position model. The record is from RNAcentral. Lineage: Eukaryota; Fungi; Ascomycota; Leotiomycetes; Helotiales; Arachnopezizaceae.